CAGCAGCCGCGGUAAUACGGAGGAUGCAAGCGUUAUCCGGAUUCAUUGGGUUUAAAGGGUCCGUAGGCGGAUUAGUAAGUCAGUGGUGAAAUCUUGCGGCUCAACCGUAACAUUGCCACUGAUACUGUUAGUCUUGAAUGCAGUCGAGGUAGGCGGAAUGUGUAGUGUAGCGGUGAAAUGCUUAGAUAUAAGCAAGAACACCGAUGGCGAAGGCAGCUUGCUGAACUGUGAUUGACGCUGAUGCACGAAAGCGUGGGGAUCAAACAGGAUUAGAUACCCUGGUAGUCCACGCUGUAAACGAUGAUUACUCGUUGUUUGCGAUAUAUUGCAAGCGACUGAGCGAAAGCAUUAAGUAAUCCACCUGGGGAGUACGUUCGCAAGAAUGAAACUCAAAGAUUGACGGGGGCCGCACAAGCGGUGAGCAUGUGGUUUAAUUCGACGCUACGCGUGACUUACCAGCUUGACAUGUAUUUGAGCUAUCGAAGAUAGGCUGUCUAAGACACAGAUACACAGGUGUUGCAUGCUGUCGUCAGCUCGUGUCGUGAAAUGUUGGGUUAAGUUCCCCAACGAGCGCAACCCCUAUCAUUAGUUGCUAACCCGCAAGGGUGCACUCUAACGAGACUGCCAGUGUUAACUGGAGGAAGAUGGGGACGACGUCAAGUCAGUACGGCCCUUAUGCCUUGGGCAACACACGUGCUACAAUCCCCGCUACAAAGAGCAGCGAUACCGUAAGGUGGAGCAAAUCUCAAAAAGCGGGGCCAGUUCAGAUUGAGGGCUGCAAUUCGCCCUCAUGAAGCCGGAAUCGCUAGUAAUCGCGCAUCAGACACGGCGCGAUGAAUACGUUCCCGGGUCUUGUACACACCGCCCGUCAAGCCACCCGAGUUGACUGCACCCG
This 895-nucleotide ribosomal RNA is filed under the name uncultured Omnitrophica bacterium. RNAcentral describes it as "bacterial SSU rRNA". It matches the Rfam family "Bacterial small subunit ribosomal RNA", at positions 509 to 1423 of the family's 1533-position model. Lineage: Bacteria; Pseudomonadati; Candidatus Omnitrophota. The record is from RNAcentral.